Molecule: small nucleolar RNA, 104 nt
Filed under: Macaca fascicularis (crab-eating macaque)
Lineage: Eukaryota; Metazoa; Chordata; Mammalia; Primates; Cercopithecidae
Description: Small nucleolar RNA U13 (ENSMFAG00000060858.1)
Rfam family: Small nucleolar RNA U13
Source: Rfam by way of RNAcentral
GUCCUUUUGUAGUCCAUAAGGGUGAUGAUUGGGUUUUCACGCUCAUGUGUGAGACGUGUCCCCCUCAGACCUUGUUAUGAUGUUGGCACCUUGCCCAUCUGAUG